AUUGAACGCUGGCGGCAGGCCUAACACAUGCAAGUCGAACGAGUGGCGGACGGGUGAGUAAUGUCUGGGAAACUGCCUGAUGGAGGGGGAUAACUACUGGAAACGGUAGCUAAUACCGCAUACCAUCAUCUUUGCCCAGAUGGGAUUGGCUUGUUGUUGGGGUAACGCCUCCCCAAGGCGACGAUCCCUAGCUGGUCUGAGAGGAUGACCAGCCACACUGGAACGGAGAAACGGUCCAGACUCCUACGGGAGGCAGCAGUGGGGAAUAGUGCACAAUGGGCGAAAGCCUGAUGCAGCAAUGCCGCGUGUAUGAAGAAGGCCGGCGGGUUGUAAAGUACUUUCAGCGGGGAGGCGUUACCCGCAGAAGAAGCACCGGCUAACUCCGUGCCAGCAGCCGCGGUAAUAC
Molecule: ribosomal RNA, 406 nt
Filed under: uncultured bacterium
Lineage: Bacteria
Description: partial 16S ribosomal RNA
Rfam family: Bacterial small subunit ribosomal RNA
Source: RNAcentral